RNAcentral lists this ribosomal RNA (253 nucleotides) under uncultured bacterium. Its description in RNAcentral is "partial 16S ribosomal RNA". It matches the Rfam family "Bacterial small subunit ribosomal RNA", at positions 524 to 776 of the family's 1533-position model. The record is from RNAcentral.
UACGUAGGGUGCGAGCGUUAAUCGGAAUUACUGGGCGUAAAGCGUGCGCAGGCGGUUAUGUAAGACCGGUGUGAAAUCCCCGGGCUUAACCUGGGAACUGCAUUUGUGACUGCAUAGCUAGAGUACGGUAGAGGGGGAUGGAAUUCCGCGUGUAGCAGUGAAAUGCGUAGAUAUGCGGAGGAACACCGAUGGCGAAGGCAAUCCCCUGGACCUGUACUGACGCUCAUGCACGAAAGCGUGGGGAGCAAACAGG